GACGAACGCUGGCGGCGUGCCUAAUACAUGCAAGUAGAACGCUGAAGGAUGAGAUUGCUACUCUCGGUGUGUUCAGCACACGUGAGUGUCGCGUAGGUAACCUGCCUGUUUGCGGGGGAUAACACUUGGAAACGAUAGUUAUUAUAGCACAUAAGAAGUUUUUACACAACAUUUACUUAUAAGGUGUGCUAUUGUAACUAUCAGAUGGACUUGCGUUGUAUGUGCUAGUUGGUGUGGUAAAGGCUCACCAAGGCGAGGAUACAUAGCCGACCUGAGAGGGUGAUCGGCCACACUGGGACUGGGAAACGGCCCAAACUCCUACGGGAGGCAGCAGUAGGGAAUCUUCGGCAAUGGACGGAAGUCUGACCGAGCAACGCCGCGUGAGUGAAGAAGGUUUUCGGAUCGUAAAACUCUGUUGGUAGAGAAGAACGAGGGUGAGAGUGGAAAGUUCACACUGUGACGGUAACUAACCAGAAAGGGACGGCUAACUACGUG
Molecule: ribosomal RNA, 495 nt
Filed under: uncultured bacterium
Lineage: Bacteria
Description: partial 16S ribosomal RNA
Rfam family: Bacterial small subunit ribosomal RNA
Source: RNAcentral